AUAUCUCUCUGUACGGGAAGGAUGAGAAGCUUCGACCAAGGUUCGAUUCGAGCGUCAGCGAGAAAGCGUUGCCGCAGGCAACGACCCGAAGG
Molecule: small RNA, 92 nt
Filed under: Salmonella enterica subsp. enterica serovar Paratyphi B var. L(+) tartrate +
Lineage: Bacteria; Pseudomonadati; Pseudomonadota; Gammaproteobacteria; Enterobacterales; Enterobacteriaceae
Description: partial RtT sRNA
Rfam family: RtT RNA
About the family: This family represents a bacterial cis-regulatory element known as RtT RNA.
Source: RNAcentral